GCUCUGUAUCUGCUUCCUCUUCCUCUGCCCCAGUGGUAGUUACUCCCUCUGGGUUUUAAGUUGUAGUGUGCCAGCCUUGAUUUUCUGAGACUUUAUCUUCUAUUUGUAAAAAUAUCCCCAACUAACUUGUGAAUGUGUUUAUCUGCUAGGAAGAUGCGUGCUAUCCGGAAUGUGCACAGAAUGCCUUCCAACAAUUCCACCAAAGAGAUAAACGGAUGAGGUAUGACAGAGGAAGUUCUGUGGUGGGGGCAGGAAAGAUUUCAAGUUUCUAACAGUCUGCAGUUGCCCAGGGCCAAAGUCUGCCAAACGAUCAGCCACACGUACCUGUAAACAUGGGAGUCACUAAGUAAUUCUCUUCAUUGGUGUCUUACCAGAACCUAGCCCCGUGUCUCCAAGGAGAAGGCCCUCAACAAAUACUGAUAGAGGGAAGGAGCAAAUGCAUGGAUGGUUCCAUGGAGAGAGGAGACGAUGGCCACCAAAUCUCCCUGUGCGGGGGUCCUUUACAAGCCAAGGCCUCCCUGGCUGUCUGUUGAAGCCCACAGACCACUUCUCAGAACAGUGGUUUUAAAUGCAGAGUAUGGCACAGGAAACAAAUCACAUUGAAAUACAGAUAAAAGAAAUGGAUUAUGGUGAACUAUACUGAAGUUAAAAUAGAAAACGAAAUUGUGACAUCAUCACAAAUACAGUUCUGGGACCUGCGCUGGGCUCGUCAAGUCCCAGGCACCUGUGUAGAAAGAUCGGGCUGGGCUGCGUACUGGUGACGUCACCAACGGACAGCAUCCACAGGUUUUGUUCUCGGUUUCUCAGGGAGGAAUCCUCCAAAUUCCCGUCUAGGUGAAAUCUCAGAGCGAAGCGGCAGGAAGAGGCCAUGGGAGCUCCACGGUUCACACCACCCACUAGUUUUCUUGUUGUGGGCUCAUCUUCAGUCCCUCAUCCCUGAAUCCAGUCUUUCUAUUUAACCCUUUCAGUCUUCCUUGAAGGUACAUAGUUGCGUACGUUACAAAGUGAACAGCCAGCUCUAUGCAGCGGUCCAGGUAUUGACA
Suricata suricatta (meerkat) is the source of this 1043-nucleotide long non-coding RNA. RefSeq lists it as uncharacterized. Lineage: Eukaryota; Metazoa; Chordata; Mammalia; Carnivora; Herpestidae. The transcript has 3 exons. The record is from RefSeq and is a predicted model, not a curated record.